RNAcentral lists this ribosomal RNA (1540 nucleotides) under Staphylococcus aureus. RNAcentral describes it as "16S ribosomal RNA". It matches the Rfam family "Bacterial small subunit ribosomal RNA". The record is from RNAcentral. Lineage: Bacteria; Bacillati; Bacillota; Bacilli; Caryophanales; Staphylococcaceae.
AGAGUUUGAUCCUGGCUCAGGAUGAACGCUGGCGGCGUGCCUAAUACAUGCAAGUCGAGCGAACGGACGAGAAGCUUGCUUCUCUGAUGUUAGCGGCGGACGGGUGAGUAACACGUGGAUAACCUACCUAUAAGACUGGGAUAANUUCGGGAAACCGGAGCUAAUACCGGAUAAUAUUUUGAACCGCAUGGUUCAAAAGUGAAAGACGGUCUUGCUGUCACUUAUAGAUGGAUCCGCGCUGCAUUAGCUAGUUGGUAAGGUAACGGCUUACCAAGGCAACGAUGCAUAGCCGACCUGAGAGGGUGAUCGGCCACACUGGAACUGAGACACGGUCCAGACUCCUACGGGAGGCAGCAGUAGGGAAUCUUCCGCAAUGGGCGAAAGCCUGACGGAGCAACGCCGCGUGAGUGAUGAAGGUCUUCGGAUCGUAAAACUCUGUUAUUAGGGAAGAACAUAUGUGUAAGUAACUGUGCACAUCUUGACGGUACCUAAUCAGAAAGCCACGGCUAACUACGUGCCAGCAGCCGCGGUAAUACGUAGGUGGCAAGCGUUAUCCGGAAUUAUUGGGCGUAAAGCGCGCGUAGGCGGUUUUUUAAGUCUGAUGUGAAAGCCCACGGCUCAACCGUGGAGGGUCAUUGGAAACUGGAAAACUUGAGUGCAGAAGAGGAAAGUGGAAUUCCAUGUGUAGCGGUGAAAUGCGCAGAGAUAUGGAGGAACACCAGUGGCGAAGGCGACUUUCUGGUCUGUAACUGACGCUGAUGUGCGAAAGCGUGGGGAUCAAACAGGAUUAGAUACCCUGGUAGUCCACGCCGUAAACGAUGAGUGCUAAGUGUUAGGGGGUUUCCGCCCCUUAGUGCUGCAGCUAACGCAUUAAGCACUCCGCCUGGGGAGUACGACCGCAAGGUUGAAACUCAAAGGAAUUGACGGGGACCCGCACAAGCGGUGGAGCAUGUGGUUUAAUUCGAAGCAACGCGAAGAACCUUACCAAAUCUUGACAUCCUUUGACAACUCUAGAGAUAGAGCCUUCCCCUUCGGGGGACAAAGUGACAGGUGGUGCAUGGUUGUCGUCAGCUCGUGUCGUGAGAUGUUGGGUUAAGUCCCGCAACGAGCGCAACCCUUAAGCUUAGUUGCCAUCAUUAAGUUGGGCACUCUAAGUUGACUGCCGGUGACAAACCGGAGGAAGGUGGGGAUGACGUCAAAUCAUCAUGCCCCUUAUGAUUUGGGCUACACACGUGCUACAAUGGACAAUACAAAGGGCAGCGAAACCGCGAGGUCAAGCAAAUCCCAUAAAGUUGUUCUCAGUUCGGAUUGUAGUCUGCAACUCGACUACAUGAAGCUGGAAUCGCUAGUAAUCGUAGAUCAGCAUGCUACGGUGAAUACGUUCCCGGGUCUUGUACACACCGCCCGUCACACCACGAGAGUUUGUAACACCCGAAGCCGGUGGAGUAACCUUUUAGGAGCUAGCCGUCGAAGGUGGGACAAAUGAUUGGGGUGAAGUCGUAACAAGGUAGCCGUAUCGGAAGGUGCGGCUGGAUCACCU